This 850-nucleotide ribosomal RNA is filed under the name uncultured bacterium. RNAcentral describes it as "bacterial SSU rRNA". It matches the Rfam family "Bacterial small subunit ribosomal RNA", at positions 530 to 1380 of the family's 1533-position model. The record is from RNAcentral.
GGGUGCAAGCGUUACUCGGAAUCACUGGGCGUAAAGCGCAUGCAGGCGGUCUAAUAAGUUGGGAGUGAAAGCCUAUGGCUCAACCAUAGAACAGCUUCCAAAACUGUUAGACUAGAGUCUGGGAGGGGAAGAUGGAAUUAGUAGUGUAGGGGUAAAAUCCGUAGAGAUUACUAGGAAUACCAAAAGCGAAGGCGAUCUUCUGGAACAGAACUGACGCUGAGAUGCGAAAGCGUGGGGAGCAAACAGGAUUAGAUACCCUGGUAGUCCACGCAGUAAACGAUGAAUGUUAGUCGUUGGGUCUCUAGUAGAUUCAGUGAUGCAGUUAACACAGUAAACAUUCCGCCUGGGGAGUACGGUCGCAAGAUUAAAACUCAAAGGAAUAGACGGGGACCCGCACAAGUGGUGGAGCAUGUGGUUUAAUUCGAAGAUACGCGAAGAACCUUACCUGGCCUUGACAUAUAGAGGAACCUACCCGAGAUGGUGGGGUGCCUUCGGGAGCCUCUAUACAGGUGCUGCAUGGCUGUCGUCAGCUCGUGUCGUGAGAUGUUGGGUUAAGUCCCGCAACGAGCGCAACCCUCGUCACUAGUUACUAACGGUUAGGCCGAGGACUCUAGUGAGACUGCCUUCGCAAGGAGGAGGAAGGUGAGGACGACGUCAAGUCAUCAUGGCCCUUACGGCCAGGGCAACACACGUGCUACAAUGGUUAGGACAAUGAGAGGCGAUACCGUGAGGUGGAGCGAAUCUAUAAACCUAAUCUCAGUUCAGAUUGUAGUCUGCAACUCGACUACAUGAAGCUGGAAUCACUAGUAAUCGUAGAUCAGCUAUGCUACGGUGAAUACGUUCCCGGGUC